GAGGGUGUAGCCCAGUGGUAGAGCACAUGCUUAGCAUGCACCAGGUCCUAGGUUCAAUCCCUGGUACCUCCA
Molecule: transfer RNA, 72 nt
Filed under: Camelus bactrianus (Bactrian camel)
Lineage: Eukaryota; Metazoa; Chordata; Mammalia; Artiodactyla; Camelidae
Also listed under: 3 other names
Rfam family: tRNA
About the family: Transfer RNA (tRNA) molecules are approximately 80 nucleotides in length. Their secondary structure includes four short double-helical elements and three loops (D, anti-codon, and T loops).
Source: Rfam by way of RNAcentral